AUGUCGCCCUCCGCCCCGCCCGCGCCCGCCCGCUUCCUCCUCUUCGCCGCGGCCCUCGCGCUGCUCCUCCUCUCCCCAACCCUAGCGGCCUCCGACCCCGCCGCCGAGCCCUGCGCGGCGCCCCUCGACGCCGCACCGCUGGACGGCGGGGGCGGGGGAGAGGUCGCGCUCUGCCCCGUGCGGUGCUUCCGCCCCGACCCCGUCUGCGGCGCCGACGGCGUCACCUACUGGUGCGGCUGCCCGGAGGCCGCCUGCGCCGGCGCGCGGGUGGCGCGGCGCGGCUACUGCGAGGUCGGCGCCGGCUCCGCGCCCGUCUCCGGCCAGGCGCUCCUGCUCGUCCACAUCGUCUGGCUCUUCGUGCUCGGCGCCGCCGUCCUCCUCGGCUUCCUCUGA
Molecule: ribosomal RNA, 393 nt
Filed under: Triticum aestivum (bread wheat)
Lineage: Eukaryota; Viridiplantae; Streptophyta; Magnoliopsida; Poales; Poaceae
Description: partial small subunit ribosomal RNA
Source: RNAcentral